RNAcentral lists this ribosomal RNA (508 nucleotides) under uncultured Flavobacterium sp. RNAcentral's name for it is "bacterial SSU rRNA". It matches the Rfam family "Bacterial small subunit ribosomal RNA", at positions 9 to 517 of the family's 1533-position model. Lineage: Bacteria; Pseudomonadati; Bacteroidota; Flavobacteriia; Flavobacteriales; Flavobacteriaceae. The record is from RNAcentral.
GAGUUUGAUCUUGGCUCAGGAUGAACGCUAGCGGCAGGCUUAACACAUGCAAGUCGAGGGGCAGCACGUCUUCGGAUGGUGGCGACCGGCGCACGGGUGAGUAACGCGUAUGCAAUCUACCUUUUACAGGGGCAUAGCCCGGGGAAACUCGGAUUAAUAUCCUAUGGUACCAUGAUAUAGCAUUAUAUUUUGGUUAAAGCUUUGGCGGUAAAGAUGAGCAUGCGUCCUAUUAGCUUGAUGGUAAGGUAACGGCUUACCAUGGCGAUGAUAGGUAGGGGUCCUGAGAGGGAGACCCCCCACACUGGUACUGAGACACGGACCAGACUCCUACCGGGAGGCAGCAGUGAGGAAUAUUGGACAAUGGCGAGAGCCUGAUCCAGCCAUGCCGCGUGCAGGAAGACGGCCCUAUGGGUUGUAAACUGCUUUUAUACGGGAAGAAACACUCCCUCGUGAGGGAGCUUGACGGUACCGUAUGAAUAAGGAUCGGCUAACUCCGUGCCAGCAGCCG